RNAcentral lists this ribosomal RNA (487 nucleotides) under uncultured KB1 group bacterium. RNAcentral's name for it is "bacterial SSU rRNA". It matches the Rfam family "Bacterial small subunit ribosomal RNA", at positions 912 to 1385 of the family's 1533-position model. The record is from RNAcentral. Lineage: Bacteria; Candidatus Calescibacteriota.
GACGGGGGCCCACACAACCGGUGGAGGCACGUGGUUUAAUUCGACGAUAAGCGAAGAACCUUACCAGGGACUUGACAUGUCGGUAGUAGGACCCUGAAAGGGGAACGAACCAAAGCUUUGCUUUGGUAGCCGUCACAGGUAUUGCAUGGCUGUCGUCAGCUCGUGUCGUGGGACGUUGGGUUAAGUCCCGUAACGAGCGCAACCCCUGCCCUUAAUUGCCAGCGCAUUUGGCGGGUACUAUAAGGGGACUGCCGGAGAAUAUUCCGGAGGAAGGAGGGGACGACGUCAAGUCAUUAUGAUCCUUAUGUUCUGGGCGACACACGUGCUACAAUGGGCACUACAGUGGGGAGCCAAUCCGCAAGGAUGAGCAAAUCCCAAAAAGGUGCCCCCAGUGCGGAUUGGCGUCUGCAACCCGACCCCAUGAAGAUGGAAUCGGUAGUAAUCGCGGGUCAGCCAUACCGCGGUGAAUGCGUACUUGGGCCUUGUA